AACGAACGCUGGCGGCAUGCCUAACACAUGCAAGUCGAACGAACUCUUCGGAGUUAGUGGCGCACGGGUGCGUAACGCGUGGGAAUCUGCCCUUGGGUACGGAAUAACUCAGAGAAAUUUGUGCUAAUACCGUAUAAUGUCUUCGGACCAAAGAUUUAUCGCCCAAGGAUGAGCCCGCGUAAGAUUAGCUAGUUGGUGAG
RNAcentral lists this ribosomal RNA (200 nucleotides) under uncultured bacterium. RNAcentral describes it as "partial 16S ribosomal RNA". It matches the Rfam family "Bacterial small subunit ribosomal RNA", at positions 29 to 256 of the family's 1533-position model. The record is from RNAcentral.